UUUCCCUCCUCUGGGGCUUGCUUGCAAGGCGGGGUUGGGUCAAGGUUGGGGCAGCCUCUCUCUUCCUCCCUGCUUGGUGCCUCAGUGACCAGCCAGCUCCCUGCCCCACCCAGCUGGCCCCAGGCCACCGGCCGGGCCUGGGACUCAACUUGCCAACUUACAGCCUGAGGGAGGGCUGGGCUCUUCAAAAACAGCCUCAAAUCAUCCAGGCCGCUGACAGCCACAGGGCAAGCGCCCAGAGCCCAUUCUUUCUGUCUGGCCUCCAUCUCAUCCGGCUAUCCCAGGAUCCCAGGAGUGGCUGUUGAUGGAGCCCUUCCCAUGGACUGGGCCUUUGCACACACAUUGCACCAAAUUCUCACAGCAGCCGAGCCAGGGGCAACACACGGAACGUCUUUCAUCCUGUGGACGGGAAUCACAACAUCCAGCAGUGUCGGGGCUGUUGCAAGAAACUGCCCAGCACAGGACCUGGGCCUUCGCAGUUUAAUCACCUCGUUCCUCUUCCUGCCUGGAGAACGGCAGGGACUGUGUUGUGCUGCUGGUCACCA
This is a long non-coding RNA of Homo sapiens (human), 545 nucleotides long. The record is from Ensembl. NCBI's taxonomy places the organism in Eukaryota, Metazoa, Chordata, Mammalia, Primates, Hominidae.